AUUUUUUAUAGUAUGAAAAUACUGUCAACGCAGAUGAGAGUAAACACUUUUGUAGUGAGUAAAAAAGCGAGAAAAAUCGAGAAAAACAAGUGAAUAGCAAAUAUGGUCAGAAUCCGGUUGACUAUGUGGCGCCUAAUCAGUGACGGAAAGUGCAAAUGAAAAGCGGAAAAUCCAGCAUCUAUGCGCAGGCAGGCCAACAGCACAAUUAAGUGCUCCACUAGCAAGGAGUUUUGGGGCAGUUAGUGUUGAAGUUGCUGUCGUUGUUGCAGUCCAAGUUGAAGUCGAAGUCGAAGUCGAAUUUGCAGUCGUCGUCGCAUUCGAAGCUGUUGACACACUUUCGAUUGCAUCACCGCAGCGUGCGGCACAAAGUGGCCAUAAGAUGCAGCCAGUUUUAGCUUAGUUUACAGUUUCGGCUCUAAUUAUUUGUGCAAAUGGUGGACAUGUGCAUUAUUUAAGAUUUCAUCAUUGGGUUUUUCCUGGAGCGGUCACGGAAUCUUGAAAAAUAUAACUAAGAAAUGCCAACGCAAUUAAAUUGAUUUAGAUUUCAAAGCAGAGCAGCAGACACUGCAAAGGAAAUUAAUCACAAUCUAAUUGUUUUGCCAACUAAAUUACACUAUCCCAGUUUUUCUAGGUGCGUCCCAAAUAUGUGGUGAGAAAUUCAUGUUUUGGUGUUAGAUUUUUGCAACGAAAUAUUUGCACAGUAAAUGCCUCUGCUAAUUGCCAAUUACGUUUAAUUAAUUAACAUGAAAAUUACAACAACAACAAAAUGAUACAGUGUCGAAAAGCCAUUUACGAGUUGGAAAAUAAAACAAGUUUCUGUCUUCAAAUUUGCAACGACGCGUCGUCUAAGUGCCGAAAGAUUUUCCAAAAAAGAUUUUCAAAUCAAGUGAAUUACAUAAAAAAAACCUACCCCGGCGCCUAAGAGUUAAAUUUCUAAAUCAGAUGAUUGAUUGACUGGCAGAUAGAAAGAGAGAGAGAAGGAGAGAUGGCGACGAAGAAGAGAGCUGGAAGCUAUUUGAGUUGUGGUCGUAAUUUGAGUCGCUUAUGUAGAUGUAAACCAUUGCUCAACGUGUAUUCAAUUACCAGUCGAGUACUUAGUAUGAGGUAUUUGUCAUAUUUAUGGUGAACAUUUGACAAAAGGCUGCACUUAAUUAUGCUUCCACCGAAUGCAAAACAGCGAUAAAACAGGAAAAACAGUACAAAGAAAAAAAUAAAUGAAA
This is a long non-coding RNA of Drosophila albomicans, 1220 nucleotides long. RefSeq lists it as uncharacterized. The record is from RefSeq and is a predicted model, not a curated record. The transcript has 3 exons. NCBI's taxonomy places the organism in Eukaryota, Metazoa, Arthropoda, Insecta, Diptera, Drosophilidae.